GGCAGAGGUGCCGAGCGUUAGGCGGAAUCACUGGGCUUAAAGCGUGUGUAGGCGGGCCGUUAAGUACCUUGUGAAAUCCCCCGGCUCAACCGGGGAACGGCUGGGUAUACUGGCGGCCUUGAGAGGCCUAGGGGCGAGCGGAACAAGCGGUGGAGCGGUGAAAUGCGUAGAUAUCGCUUGGAACGCCGACGGUGAAAACAGCUCGCUGGGGGCCAUCUGACGCUGAGACACGAAAGCCAGGGGAGCGAACGGG
RNAcentral lists this ribosomal RNA (253 nucleotides) under uncultured bacterium. Its description in RNAcentral is "partial 16S ribosomal RNA". It matches the Rfam family "Bacterial small subunit ribosomal RNA", at positions 524 to 776 of the family's 1533-position model. The record is from RNAcentral.